UACGGAGGGUGCGAGCGUUAUCCGGAAUUACUGGGUUUAAAGGGUGCGUAGGCGGCUAUGUAAGUCAGGUGUGAAAGUUUGCGGCUCAACCGUAAAAUUGCUUUUGAUACUGCAUGGCUGGAAUCAGGAUGAGGUCAGCGGAAUGUGGCAUGUAGCGGUGAAAUGCAUAGAUAUGCCAUAGAACACCAAUUGCGAAGGCAGCUGGCUAGACCUGUAUUGACGCUGAGGCACGAAAGCGUGGGGAGCGAACAGG
Molecule: ribosomal RNA, 253 nt
Filed under: uncultured bacterium
Lineage: Bacteria
Description: partial 16S ribosomal RNA
Rfam family: Bacterial small subunit ribosomal RNA
Source: RNAcentral